CUUUCGCGAAUGCUUAUUUUGGAAUCAUGACACAUCUUAUCUUCCAUGUUUACCUUCUUCUGUUUCAUUAGAGAAUAAAUUAUAGUCGUGAAUAUCUUCUCAUUUUUAUCUUUAUCAGUACAUUCUGAUUUCUGUUCCUGCGAAUCCUACUUGAAGAAUAUGUUUAAAAAUCUUUCCACAAACAGGUUUUAAAAAUCUGGCAUUGCCUCAUUAUAGCAAAUAAUAUGUGAUUCGCUCUCGAUCUAAAAUAAUUUGUUGCUAUGUAAAUAGGACUAAGAAAACAUUGGAACGAAGUAGUUUUGUAGAAGAUGUCACUUGAUCUUAGACGUAAAACAUAUUUGCUUUUAUACUAACAAUACCUGUGACAUAACAGUCCCUAAAAGCUCUCUGGAGACGAGAUGGUAAUUUUUAUAAAGGCACGAGGUAUUUCAAAAAUGUAGCUAUUUUUUUAUUAAGUUAAAAAAUUCAAAAACUUUUUCUAUAUUAUUUGGUACUCUGGAAUACAACAUCUCUCUAGAAAUACUAAUCAUCUCAUCUAAAUUUCCAAUCUACUGAAUAUAGAGAACAUGAGAGGAAACAACGGGAGGAUGGGGGAUGAGAUCUACUUAUACGACAUUAAUGUAUUGCCUCCAGGAUCUUUUAUUAUCGCAAAACUAGCCUUUUCACCAUUUUGCGAUUUAACUUUAUCCUGACACCCCAGAGCAGGUUUUUGAAACAAAACCAACUUGGAAAGAGCCCUAAUCAUGCCUGAUGUAGCGGACUCCUCUCCAUAGCGGAAACAUUUUUUUAUUUAUUUUCAAAUUUGCAUCCAUUUUAAGUCAAAACAAACAAGUACUUUUGUUUAUUUCCACCAAAAGAUGCUAUUUUGAUUAUUUUUUUCCUGAUAAGACGGAAAGUCUAGGCCUGUCCAUGUUUAAUAAGUAAGGCUAAUGACAGAUAUCACUCUCGUUUAAAAUGGCGUAAGAUACGCUAGAGGAAAAAAGAAAUUACAACCAACUGAGUUAAUACAAGGUAAAUUUUUGGUUAUGAAAGUCUAACUGGACUAUAGUCAUUCCUAUUUUAAAACUUUGGACGUUGGUUCUGAACUUGGAAAAAGACUACAUUACAUUCUAACUCUUGUAUAACUAUAAUAAUAUUUUAUUUCUUUAUUGCCCUCUUUAUUGUUAUGUUUAUCUCUAUGUGCCCAUCUGUUUAUAUUGUGCCUAGCUCAAAAAAAAAUUCUCAUGGAAAUAUUAGGAAAAAAACUUCUCUAUUUUUUUAAAACCAAUUGGGUUUCUUCAAAAUAAAAAUUGGCAACGUUUCAAGAGUGAUACUAUUGUUACAUAUAUGCCGCACAACUCGACGUUACUUUCCUGCUACUCAAUUUCCCACAAAGUCUUUGUUUUUGUCGGAAUUGUCAGUACGUCAUCGCAACAAUUCAUCUUGUUUGUACACACAACAUUUUCACAUUAAGGGUGGGUUUUUAUUAGAGCUAAUAAUGUUUCCAAGCAUGUCUCCGCUACUUAAAUGCAAUCUUAUUGGUUAGCUUAAUUAUUUACAGCUAUAAUUCUUACUUUUAAUGAACAAAAAAAUGAAAAAUCAAAUAAAAAAGCAACAUGAAUGGUUGCAUCUGUUAUUGCAAAACUCUCUACCCCGUGUAAAUCCGCUUUAAGAAACAAUACAAGCGUAAAGGAGAAUGGUAACGAAUAAAGAAUAAUCAUAAUGGCUGCAAUAUUAUUUGGCGGGAAAGAAUAACAUUGGGCUAUUUCUAUCUCGAAAUCGAAAGGGACCAGAAGAUUUGUUCGAGAUAGACAAAAGACGUGCAGAGAGAAAAAACGGCAAAAAACCCGUAUAUUUAUCGGAGAAAGUUAUAAUUUAGAGUUAGAGGGUAUUCAGGAUAGAGAUAACCCACUUUAAGUAGAGGAAACCAAUGAACUGGAUUGGAAUUGAUAGAACUUCUACACCAACAUUUAAGAAGCAUAUUGGUGACUCAGGCGAAUAAAUCUUAUGUUCCAUUGCUGGCCCUUGCACACAAAGAGAAAAGAUAAACUCAUAUUUACAUAUGAAUAAAUAAAUAUGCCUUUUGUUUUUUUAAAGAGACCAAUGAACUUCCAGACAUCAUUUUUUUCUCGAAUUUACCAGCCAAUGAAACAUCAAAUCUUAACAAAACUGGUUUCCUAUUGGUUACUACAAAACUAACCCUCAAUGCUUCCUGUAUUAUCGUCUUUUCACCUGCCAUCCUAGACGAGUUUCAAGCAGUUGAGUAAAAAAGUUUUUGAACCUCGUAGACAUGAAUGGUAUUUUUGUCUGUGUUGAAGUAUUCUACUGAUGUAUGGUUGAGAGAAGUUAUUUUGAGAAGAAUACAAACAAACGAAACAUGACAAGUACAGAGAGAUGGUAUUGUCCAUCGUCUUGCGUCAACUGAACUCACCCACAGAGCUUCGUAACCACUCGCUGUUCUAAACGUAAAUCACCGCACAAAAUAACAGAGACAAGCUUUAAAGAACGGUAAAGGAACGAGCGUUUUAUGUCCAAGAUAUCUUUACACGUUUCCACAAAA
Molecule: long non-coding RNA, 2539 nt
Organism: Hydractinia symbiolongicarpus
Lineage: Eukaryota; Metazoa; Cnidaria; Hydrozoa; Anthoathecata; Hydractiniidae
Exons: 2
Source: RefSeq, a predicted model, not a curated record